This 485-nucleotide ribosomal RNA is filed under the name uncultured bacterium. Its description in RNAcentral is "bacterial SSU rRNA". It matches the Rfam family "Bacterial small subunit ribosomal RNA", at positions 19 to 518 of the family's 1533-position model. The record is from RNAcentral.
AUGGCUCAGAACCGAACGCUGGUGGCGUGUCUAUACAUGCAAGUCGAGCGAGGCAGCAAUGCCGAGCGGCGAACGGGUGAGUAACGCGUAAGCAAUCUGCCCCAUAUCAGGAAAUACCCGUGCCAACGCGCGGUUAAUGUCCAGGAGAGUGGCUCCUUGCAUGAGGAGUUGACUAGAGAUUUAUCGGUAUGGGAUGAGCUUGCGUCCGAUUAGCUAGUGCGGGCAACGGCCCACCAAGGCGACGAUCGGUAGCCGGCCUGAGAGGGUGAUCGGCCACAUUGGGACUGAGAUACGGCCCAGACUCCUACGGGAGGCAGCAGUAGGGAAUAUUGCACAAUGGGGGAAACCCUGAUGCAGCAACGCCACGUGUGGGAAGAAAGCAUUUCGGUGUGUAAACCACUGUCAUGAGGGAAUAAGGCCCAGUUUAGGCUGGGAUUGAAUGUACCUUGAGAGGAAGCACCGGCAAACUUCGUGCCAGCAGCUGC